This 2365-nucleotide long non-coding RNA is filed under the name Homo sapiens (human). Its description in RNAcentral is "HSALNT0034841". The record is from RNAcentral. Lineage: Eukaryota; Metazoa; Chordata; Mammalia; Primates; Hominidae.
CUCAAAUACUAAAUCCUGGGUGAGCUGGGACUUCUAUUCUCCAUAAAGCUUUGUCACUCUGCUGCCUGCCUUUGAGCCUCUGUUAAAGUUCCCUCAGGCUCAGCCUUAAAAUUGUUUACCAACUGCUGUUUACAAUCACAAUUACUGUAUAUUCUAAUAACAUAAUGAGGAAAUGGAAUAGACAGUCCCCAAGAAACAUCUGUAUCCAUCAGAAUUUGAUCAGAGAAGCAGCACAACUACAAAUGAUGAAGCAGGAGAGGUUUACAACAGAGAUUAGUGGAGCUGAUGGAGAAGUCGAGGCAGGACUAUCGUCUUGUGUCUGGUAUUGUGCGUAAAGUCACAACAGGUCUGCCAGACCAGCUGUUGGGAAAGGGAAGCCUAAUAUAGCAAGAACAAGGACAAUUAGAACAGGUGGGGAGUACUGGGACCCACAAAGACAAACCCUAACUCUUAAGUGACUCUCACCAACUCCCAACCCAGUGCUAUGAGAGGUUUUCAGGAGAAGCUGCGGUCCUUUGGAGCUGGACACGCAGGACUCAGUGAAGCUGAUUCAGGAGAUCUUGUCAGAACCGUUUCAAUCAACCUUCUAUCUAAAUGCUCAGUAAAAAAAUUAAAAUGUUAGCUUUAAUUCACGUCUUCUUUUUGUCUAAACAUAUUCUUCUUCAAGUCCUGUUAUUACUGCUACAAUGGAAUGUGAAGCUGCCCAUUUCUCUCCAGAUAAGCAAUUACUAUCUGGUUCCAAGUUGUGAGCAUGUUUCAACCAUGAACGUAACUUUCAUAGUCCCAGUUUUGAGCCAUCCCACCUCAAAAACAUAGACUCCACACAGUGGCCUUGCCCUAGCCCCAAAUUCAUCAAUGAUUUUCCUUGACAUAGUGAAAUCUGAAGUCCUUCCCUGAGCUCCAAAUCUCAACGCCACUCCCUUAAUCUAAAAAUGUAUCCAUUCAGCCUCACCCCCUUCCACUUUUUUUGACUUUAUUUCACCCCUGCCACCUUAGCUUCCUUUAUAUUUUGAAAUAAUUCUGUGUUCUUUAUCAUCAUAACUCAGUUGUUUUACCUUAAGCCAGCAGCUCUUCUGUCUGCAUGAUUCUUUAUCUUUCAAGUUUCAUUUCAAUAUAAUCUGCUUGCAAAUUAAUUUUCUAAUUACCAUGUUUUUGGUAAACAUUCCCCAUCUCUUAUUCUUCUACACACAGACACAUACACAUACACUUACUCCCUUCUCUAUCUUCUUCCUCGGCCUUAUAAUAAUGUAACUUAUGUUUUCAUAAACAAACCUUAAAAACAGAACCUGACAGAAAACAGUCAAUAUAUAUUUGUAGAAAGACAAAAUUAUCGCUUUUAUUUGUAUUCAUUUUAUUAAUUAUAAUGCUUUAAGUCAUUUCACAUAUUCAUUUGCAGUUGGUAAGUCUUCUGUAUGUUGACAGCUGAAUUAGCCCAUUUGUUUCUUUCUUGUGUUCUUUGUUUUCUUUAAAGUGCCUUACUUAUUUGUGAAGGCUAAGAAUACCUUAAAAUAUUUAUCUUUAGGCCGGGUGCGAUGGCUCACGUCUGUAAUCCCAGCACUUUGGGAGGCCGAGACGGGUGGAUCACUUGAAGUCAGGAGUUCGAGAACAGCCUGGCCAACAUGGUGAAACCCCAUCUCUACUAAAAAUACAAAAAUUAGCCUGCCAUGGUGGUGGAUGCCUGUAUUCUCAGCUACUCGGGAGGCAGGAGAAUCGCUUGAACCUGAGAGGCGGAGGUUGCAGUGAGCCAAGAUCUCACCACUGCACUGCAGCCUGGGCCAAACAGCCAGACUCCGUCUCAAAAAAAAAAAAAAAAAAUUAUCUUUAAUCUCUCAAACAUGUAACAUAUUUUUCAUCAUUUAAAAAUAUUUUACAGUUUUGUCAUAGAUAUUUUACAUCUUCUAAAUCAAAUUUAUCUUAUACUUUGACUUUUCUGACAUAUUUCCUAUGAAGUUAUUUUUCACCACAGUAAUAUAAAGACCUUGACUAAAAUUAUCUAGUCAUCACACAAUUUUAUAAUUUAAAUUUGUAUCAUUAACACGUGUGAUAUAUUUUGCUAUAUGAUAUGUGAUGGAGCGCCAGCAUUUUUUAAAUUUAUCUAUAUUUGUUGCCAAUGAUCUAAAUAAAUUUUUUGUUUUAUUGAUCUGUCUUAUGUGAGAAUCUUAAAGUUUUAGUAAGUAUAUCUUCAAAUUCAUCUCCGGCAUCUUACACUUUUUUCCAGAACUUUCCCGAUUACUAUCAUAUAUACUCUUCCAAAUGAAAUUAAAACAAUUUGAAAUAACUUUAGAAGUGUAUAAUUAUGUUUCUAAGUAUUGAUGAAUUACUUAGAUAUUUGUUUCUGUCUUUUUGUUGUUGUUUGCUAUGGUUU